Molecule: microRNA, 18 nt
Filed under: Macrophomina phaseolina MS6
Lineage: Eukaryota; Fungi; Ascomycota; Dothideomycetes; Botryosphaeriales; Botryosphaeriaceae
Description: miR-H10
Source: RNAcentral
GGGUGCGUGGGUGGGAGG